CCAAUAAUUUUAUAGAAAUCCUGCCUAUCAUUUUGAAACAUAUACUUCUUCUACAGGUAGCAUUUGGAAUGGGAAUCAACAAACCAGAUGGGCUUUGAUUCGCAUCGAUUCCAGAAGCUCAGUUCAAAGUUUGACUAAAUCGAUUCCAAAAGUUCAAUUCAAGGUGAGCAAGGAUGAUGCAUUGAAGAUGUA
Molecule: non-coding RNA, 192 nt
Organism: Camellia sinensis
Lineage: Eukaryota; Viridiplantae; Streptophyta; Magnoliopsida; Ericales; Theaceae
Source: RefSeq, a predicted model, not a curated record